This 957-nucleotide long non-coding RNA is filed under the name Sus scrofa (pig). Its description in RNAcentral is "lncRNA (ENSSSCG00070015819.1)". Lineage: Eukaryota; Metazoa; Chordata; Mammalia; Artiodactyla; Suidae. The record is from RNAcentral.
AUGAGAAGUCAGUCUGAUCUUUCCUAUCUUCCUUCCAUAGGCCUGAACCAUGAGGAAGGCUUUCUCCCACCUUCUACUCUGCCCAGUAUUUUUCAUGAGGUCUGUGGAAAAGAGCCUGUGAGUGGACAUUAUACAAAGGAAAGAAGAGAGCUAUAUGUGACUUCGGGCAACUGUAUCAGUCUGGGCAGGAAACAGCUGCCAUUGUCAAAUCCGGUCAUUGAAAACAGUUUGCAAAAAGAGGCCAUUCCCAAAGGUGAGCAGAGAGACAGUGCAGACUCAGGGUUGGUGACAGUGUGUGUUCCAGUGGGUGGCUGAAGCCAUUGCCAUGCAGGAGAGAAGCAACGACUAGAACCCUGAGAGAAAGAGAGGUUGUGCCCUAUGCCAGAAGAGGAGCUGCUCCAUUAAUCAAGAAGGGGAGUUUAAUGCACAUUAGAAAGCAUGUCACUUCGCUCAGAACUCCAUACAUCCAGAGCAUCAUCUUUCCCAGUUUCCUGCUCCUGAAUCUCUCUUUUCUUGGAAGAGGUGACCUGUGACCUCUCAUCCCCAUCCAAGAGGUUCAGUCCCAUCCCAGACAUGAGCACAGAUUUUCAGUCUUGGGAGUAUAUGGAAAGACAGAGGCAUUGAUCUCUGACUUUGGACUGAUAUUCAAAAUUCAUUUCUGGUUAUAAGAAACAACGAAUCCAGGAGUUCCCAUCAUGGUUCAGUGGUAAUGAACCUGACUAGUAUCCAUGAGGACAUGGGUUUGAGUCCUGGCCUUGCUCAGUGGGUUAAGGAUCCAGCAUUGCCAUGAGCUGUGUGUAGGUUGUAGAUGGGGCUCGGACCCCGAGUUGCUGUGGCUGUGGUGUAGGCUGGCAGCUGCAGCUCCGAUUUGACCACUAGCCUGGAAACUCCCAUAUACCAUGGGUGCAGCCCUAAAAAGACGAAAAAAAAACAAACAAAAAAAAAACCAGCAAAAAA